RNAcentral lists this ribosomal RNA (405 nucleotides) under uncultured bacterium. RNAcentral's name for it is "partial 16S ribosomal RNA". It matches the Rfam family "Bacterial small subunit ribosomal RNA", at positions 30 to 526 of the family's 1533-position model. The record is from RNAcentral.
AUUGAACGCUAGCGGGAUGCUUUACACAUGCAAGUCGAACGAGUGGCGGACGGGUGAGUAAUAUAUGGGCACGUGACCAGUAGAGGGGGAUAACUACUCGUAAGAGAUGCCAAAACCGCCAUCUAUUGGCGCGGCCGAUAUCGGAUGAGCGAGUUGGAGGGGUAAAGGCUCACCAGGGCAACGAUCCGUAGCUGGUUUGAGAGGACGAACAGCCACACUGGGACUGAGAAACGGCCCAGACUCCUACGGGAGUCAGCAGUGGGGAAUUUUGGACAAUGGGGGAAACCCUGAUCCAGCCAUCCCGCGUGUUGGAGAAGGCUUUCGGGUUGUAAAGUACUUUUGGCAGGAAAGCGGUAUCUGCAGAAUAAGCACCGGCUAACUACGUGCCAGCAGCCGCGGUAAUAC